GACGAACGCUGGCGGCGUGCUUAACACAUGCAAGUCGAACGGAAAGGCCCUGCUUUUGUGGGGUGCUCGAGUGGCGAACGGGUGAGUAACACGUGAGUAACCUUCCCUUGACUUUGGGAUAACUUCAGGAAACUGGGGCUAAUACCUGAUAGGAGCUCCUGCUGCAUGGUGGUGGUUGGAAAGUUUCGGCGGUUGGGGAUGGACUCGCGGCUUAUCAGCUUGUUGGUGGGGUAGUGGCUUACCAAGGCUUUGACGGGUAGCCGGCCUGAGAGGGUGACCGGCCACAUUGGGACUGAGAGACGGCCCAGACUCCUACGGGAGGCAGCAGUGGGGAAUAUUGCACAAUGGGCGGAAGCCUGAUGCAGAAACGCCGCGUGCGGGAUGACGGCCUUCGGGUUGUAAACCGCUUUAGCCUGUGACGAAGCGUGAGUGACGGUAAUGGGUAAAGAAGCACCGGCUAACUACGUG
This 468-nucleotide ribosomal RNA is filed under the name uncultured bacterium. Its description in RNAcentral is "partial 16S ribosomal RNA". It matches the Rfam family "Bacterial small subunit ribosomal RNA", at positions 28 to 507 of the family's 1533-position model. The record is from RNAcentral.